GGCGACGGUUGUCCCGGUUUAAGCGUGUAGGCUGGUUUUCCAGGCAAAUCCGGAAAAUCAAGGCUGAGGCGUGAUGACGAGGCACUACGGUGCUGAAGCAACAAAUGCCCUGCUUCCAGGAAAAGCCUCUAAGCAUCAGGUAACAUCAAAUCGUACCCCAAACCGACACAGGUGGUCAGGUAGAGAAUACCAAGGCGCUUGAGAGAACUCGGGUGAAGGAACUAGGCAAAAUGGUGCCGUAACUUCGGGAGAAGGCACGCUGAUAUGUAGGUGAAGUCCCUCGCGGAUGGAGCUGAAAUCAGUCGAAGAUACCAGCUGGCUGCAACUGUUUAUUAAAAACACAGCACUGUGCAAACACGAAAGUGGACGUAUACGGUGUGACGCCUGCCCGGUGCCGGAAGGUUAAUUGAUGGGGUCAGCGCAAGCGAAGCUCUUGAUCGAAGCCCCGGUAAACGGCGGCCGUAACUAUAACGGUCCUAAGGUAGCGAAAUUCCUUGUCGGGUAAGUUCCGACCUGCACGAAUGGCGUAAUGAUGGCCAGGCUGUCUCCACCCGAGACUCAGUGAAAUUGAACUCGCUGUGAAGAUGCAGUGUACCCGCGGCAAGACGGAAAGACCCCGUGAACCUUUACUAUAGCUUGACACUGAACAUUGAGCCUUGAUGUGUAGGAUAGGUGGGAGGCUUAGAAGUGUGGACGCCAGUCUGCAUGGAGCCGACCUUGAAAUACCACCCUUUAAUGUUUGAUGUUCUAACGUUGACCCGUAAUCCGGGUUGCGGACAGUGUCUGGUGGGUAGUUUGACUGGGGCGGUCUCCUCCUAAAGAGUAACGGAGGAGCACGAAGGUUGGCUAAUCCUGGUCGGACAUCAGGAGGUUAGUGCAAUGGCAUAAGCCAGCUUGACUGCGAGCGUGACGGCGCGAGCAGGUGCGAAAGCAGGUCAUAGUGAUCCGGUGGUUCUGAAUGGAAGGGCCAUCGCUCAACGGAUAAAAGGUACUCCGGGGAUAACAGGCUGAUACCGCCCAAGAGUUCAUAUCGACGGCGGUGUUUGGCACCUCGAUGUCGGCUCAUCACAUCCUGGGGCUGAAGUAGGUCCCAAGGGUAUGGCUGUUCGCCAUUUAAAGUGGUACGCGAGCUGGGUUUAGAACGUCGUGAGACAGUUCGGUCCCUAUCUGCCGUGGGCGCUGGAGAACUGAGGGGGGCUGCUCCUAGUACGAGAGGACCGGAGUGGACGCAUCACUGGUGUUCGGGUUGUCAUGCCAAUGGCACUGCCCGGUAGCUAAA
Molecule: ribosomal RNA, 1279 nt
Filed under: Escherichia coli
Lineage: Bacteria; Pseudomonadati; Pseudomonadota; Gammaproteobacteria; Enterobacterales; Enterobacteriaceae
Description: partial 23S ribosomal RNA
Rfam family: Bacterial large subunit ribosomal RNA
Source: RNAcentral